This 253-nucleotide ribosomal RNA is filed under the name uncultured bacterium. Its description in RNAcentral is "partial 16S ribosomal RNA". It matches the Rfam family "Bacterial small subunit ribosomal RNA", at positions 524 to 776 of the family's 1533-position model. The record is from RNAcentral.
UACGUAGGCAGCAAGCGUUGUUCGGAAUUACUGGGCGUAAAGAGUGUGUAGGCGGUGUUCCAAGUCUGUUGUGAAAUCUCCCGGCUUAACUGGGAGGGUGCGGCGGAAACUGGGAUGCUAGAGGAUGGGAGAGGUAAGCGGAAUUCCUGGUGUAGCGGUGAAAUGCGUAGAUAUCAGGAGGAACACCUGUGGUGUAGACAGCUUACUGGAACGUAACUGACGCUGAGACGCGAAAGCGUGGGGAGCAAACAGG